RNAcentral lists this ribosomal RNA (860 nucleotides) under Cantharellus appalachiensis. Its description in RNAcentral is "eukaryotic LSU rRNA". It matches the Rfam family "Eukaryotic large subunit ribosomal RNA", at positions 75 to 943 of the family's 3401-position model. The record is from RNAcentral. Lineage: Eukaryota; Fungi; Basidiomycota; Agaricomycetes; Cantharellales; Hydnaceae.
UUCCCCCAGUAACUGCGAGUGAAGAGGGAAGAGCUCAUCAUUGGAAUCUGGCAGCGUCUCGCUGUCCGAGUUGUAGAUGAGAAGAGUGGGCCAUCUGGACUGCAUGGUGUCCAAGUACAAUAGGCCGUCAGUGGGACAUCAUAGAGGGUGACAAUCCCGUCCUUGACACCAAUGUACGAGUCCUUUUACGAUGCCUAUCUCGGAGAGUCGAGCAGUUUGGGAUUUGCUGCUUAAACAUGGGAGGUAGAUUCCUUCCAAAGCUAAAUACAGGCAAGAGACCGAUAGAGAACAAGUACCGCAAGGGAAAGAUGAAAUAGAACUCUGUGAAGGGAGUCAAAAGACGUGAAAUUGUUGCGAGAGAAGCGAUUCAAGUCAGCGUAGCUGGGCCCAUCAAGCCUCGCGCUUUGGACCAGCUUUGCCAGCGGUCUUGUCCUAGAGACUCGACUAAGGUGCCCUGCCCGGUCUGACGGGCAGACCUUCCCCCCUGGGGGAGGCCAGCGGCACGGCUGGUGGAAUGGCUUGCAAUCGACCCGUCUUGAAACACGGACCAAGGAGUCUAACAUGCAUGCGAGUAUAAGGGUGGCAAACCCGUAUGCGCAAAGAAAGUGAUAGCCUUUACGGCUGUGAAUGACCUGAUGACCAGACAAGCGAUAUCAUGUCCCUCGUACGGUCAUUGCCCAAGUCCCGUGGUCAGAUCCCAUGGACAUGGAGUUGGAGCGUGCAUGCUAGGACCCGAAAGAUGGUGAACUAUGCCUGGACAAAGCGAAGCCAAAGGAAACUCUGGUGGAGGCUUGUAGCGAUUCUGACGUGCAAAUCGAUCGUCUGAUCUGGGUAUAGGGGCGAAAGACUAAUCGAACCAU